RNAcentral lists this ribosomal RNA (2893 nucleotides) under Pseudomonas syringae pv. actinidiae. Its description in RNAcentral is "23S ribosomal RNA". It matches the Rfam family "Bacterial large subunit ribosomal RNA". Lineage: Bacteria; Pseudomonadati; Pseudomonadota; Gammaproteobacteria; Pseudomonadales; Pseudomonadaceae. The record is from RNAcentral.
GGUCAAGUGAAGAAGCGCAUACGGUGGAUGCCUUGGCAGUCAGAGGCGAUGAAAGACGUGGUAGCCUGCGAAAAGCUUCGGGGAGUCGGCAAACAGACUGUGAUCCGGAGAUGUCUGAAUGGGGGAACCCAGCCAUCACAAGAUGGUUAUCUUACACUGAAUACAUAGGUGUAAGAGGCGAACCAGGGGAACUGAAACAUCUAAGUACCCUGAGGAAAAGAAAUCAACCGAGAUUCCCUUAGUAGUGGCGAGCGAACGGGGACCAGCCCUUAAGUUGUAUUGAGAUUAGCGGAACGCUCUGGAAAGUGCGGCCAUAGUGGGUGAUAGCCCUGUACGCGAAAAUCCCUUUGCAAUGAAAUCGAGUAGGACGGGGCACGAGAAACCUUGUCUGAAUAUGGGGGGACCAUCCUCCAAGGCUAAAUACUACUGACUGACCGAUAGUGAACCAGUACCGUGAGGGAAAGGCGAAAAGAACCGCGGAGAGCGGAGUGAAAUAGAUCCUGAAACCGUAUGCGUACAAGCAGUGGGAGCCCACUUUGUUGGGUGACUGCGUACCUUUUGUAUAAUGGGUCAGCGACUUAUUUUCAGUGGCGAGCUUAACCGAAUAGGGGAGGCGUAGCGAAAGCGAGUCUUAAUAGGGCGUCUAGUCGCUGGGAAUAGACCCGAAACCGGGCGAUCUAUCCAUGGGCAGGUUGAAGGUUGGGUAACACUAACUGGAGGACCGAACCGACUACCGUUGAAAAGUUAGCGGAUGACCUGUGGAUCGGAGUGAAAGGCUAAUCAAGCUCGGAGAUAGCUGGUUCUCCUCGAAAGCUAUUUAGGUAGCGCCUCAUGUAUCACUGUAGGGGGUAGAGCACUGUUUCGGCUAGGGGGUCAUCCCGACUUACCAAACCGAUGCAAACUCCGAAUACCUACAAGUGCCGAGCAUGGGAGACACACGGCGGGUGCUAACGUCCGUCGUGAAAAGGGAAACAACCCAGACCGUCAGCUAAGGUCCCAAAGUCAUGGUUAAGUGGGAAACGAUGUGGGAAGGCUUAGACAGCUAGGAGGUUGGCUUAGAAGCAGCCACCCUUUAAAGAAAGCGUAAUAGCUCACUAGUCGAGUCGGCCUGCGCGGAAGAUGUAACGGGGCUCAAACCAUGCACCGAAGCUACGGGUAUCACCUUUGGUGAUGCGGUAGAGGAGCGUUCUGUAAGCCUGUGAAGGUGAGUUGAGAAGCUUGCUGGAGGUAUCAGAAGUGCGAAUGCUGACAUGAGUAACGACAAUGGGUGUGAAAAACACCCACGCCGAAAGACCAAGGUUUCCUGCGCAACGUUAAUCGACGCAGGGUUAGUCGGUCCCUAAGGCGAGGCUGAAAAGCGUAGUCGAUGGAAAACAGGUUAAUAUUCCUGUACUUCUGGUUAUUGCGAUGGAGGGACGGAGAAGGCUAGGCCAGCCUGGCGUUGGUAGUCCAGGUUUAAGGUGGUAGGCUGAGAUCUUAGGUAAAUCCGGGAUCUUAAGGCCGAGAGCUGAUGACGAGUGUUCUUUUAGAACAUGAAGUGGUUGAUGCCAUGCUUCCAAGAAAAGCUUCUAAGCUUCAGGUAACCAGGAACCGUACCCCAAACCGACACAGGUGGUUGGGUAGAGAAUACCAAGGCGCUUGAGAGAACUCGGGUGAAGGAACUAGGCAAAAUGGCACCGUAACUUCGGGAGAAGGUGCGCCGGUGAGGGUGAAGCAUUUACUGCGUAAGCCCACGCCGGUCGAAGAUACCAGGCCGCUGCGACUGUUUAUUAAAAACACAGCACUCUGCAAACACGAAAGUGGACGUAUAGGGUGUGACGCCUGCCCGGUGCCGGAAGGUUAAUUGAUGGGGUUAGCGCAAGCGAAGCUCUUGAUCGAAGCCCCGGUAAACGGCGGCCGUAACUAUAACGGACGUAAGGUAGCGAAAUUCCUUGUCGGGUAAGUUCCGACCUGCACGAAUGGCGUAACGAUGGCGGCGCUGUCUCCACCCGAGACUCAGUGAAAUUGAAAUCGCUGUGAAGAUGCAGUGUAUCCGCGGCUAGACGGAAAGACCCCGUGAACCUUUACUAUAGCUUUGCACUGGACUUUGAAUUUGCUUGUGUAGGAUAGGUGGGAGGCUUUGAAGCGUGGACGCCAGUCUGCGUGGAGCCAACCUUGAAAUACCACCCUGGCAACUUUGAGGUUCUAACUCAGGUCCGUUAUCCGGAUCGAGGACAGUGUAUGGUGGGUAGUUUGACUGGGGCGGUCUCCUCCUAAAGAGUAACGGAGGAGUACGAAGGUGCGCUCAGACCGGUCGGAAAUCGGUCGUAGAGUAUAAAGGCAAAAGCGCGCUUGACUGCGAGACAGACACGUCGAGCAGGUACGAAAGUAGGUCUUAGUGAUCCGGUGGUUCUGUAUGGAAGGGCCAUCGCUCAACGGAUAAAAGGUACUCCGGGGAUAACAGGCUGAUACCGCCCAAGAGUUCAUAUCGACGGCGGUGUUUGGCACCUCGAUGUCGGCUCAUCACAUCCUGGGGCUGAAGCCGGUCCCAAGGGUAUGGCUGUUCGCCAUUUAAAGUGGUACGCGAGCUGGGUUUAGAACGUCGUGAGACAGUUCGGUCCCUAUCUGCCGUGGACGUUUGAGAUUUGAGAGGGGCUGCUCCUAGUACGAGAGGACCGGAGUGGACGAACCUCUGGUGUUCCGGUUGUCACGCCAGUGGCAUUGCCGGGUAGCUAUGUUCGGAAAAGAUAACCGCUGAAAGCAUCUAAGCGGGAAACUUGCCUCAAGAUGAGAUCUCACUGGAACCUAGAGUUCCCUGAAGGGCCGUCGAAGACUACGACGUUGAUAGGUUGGGUGUGUAAGCGCUGUGAGGCGUUGAGCUAACCAAUACUAAUUGCCCGUGAGGCUUGACCAU